Molecule: long non-coding RNA, 284 nt
Filed under: Elaeis guineensis (African oil palm)
Lineage: Eukaryota; Viridiplantae; Streptophyta; Magnoliopsida; Arecales; Arecaceae
Description: long non-coding RNA (EGUI_LNC040755)
Source: RNAcentral
ACUGGCUGUUUAAUAUCAGGGUAGAAUCAAAGCUCCAUCUUAAGCAUAUCACAUCUCAUCGAGCAUCAUUUUUUGUCGUCAGAUGGAUUCCGACUCAAAGGUCAGUAAAUAUCCAAUCUGAAGGUCGGACUAAAAUUGAUGACAUUGCACUGCUUCACUUUUGAUUUUUAGAUUCUUCUUUGAUAUUCAUGAUGAUCUUGUUGGGUCAUCAAUAGAUAUUUUAUAGUGACUUCUGGAGAAGAGGUUGGAUCAGAAAGUAGAUAAUUCUGCAACAUCAAUACAUC